AUUGGACCUGAUAUCAGGCAAGAUUACCCGCUGAACUUAACAA
This 43-nucleotide ribosomal RNA is filed under the name Phytophthora palmivora. RNAcentral's name for it is "partial 28S ribosomal RNA". Lineage: Eukaryota; Oomycota; Peronosporomycetes; Peronosporales; Peronosporaceae. The record is from RNAcentral.